Molecule: transfer RNA, 79 nt
Filed under: Daedalea quercina L-15889
Lineage: Eukaryota; Fungi; Basidiomycota; Agaricomycetes; Polyporales; Fomitopsidaceae
Rfam family: tRNA
About the family: Transfer RNA (tRNA) molecules are approximately 80 nucleotides in length. Their secondary structure includes four short double-helical elements and three loops (D, anti-codon, and T loops).
Source: Rfam by way of RNAcentral
GGCCGACUGGCGAAAUGGCAUCGCGUCUGACUACGAGUGUGUAAUCAGGAGAUUGCAGGUUCGACCCCUGCGUCGGUCA